RNAcentral lists this ribosomal RNA (197 nucleotides) under uncultured bacterium. RNAcentral's name for it is "partial 16S ribosomal RNA". It matches the Rfam family "Bacterial small subunit ribosomal RNA", at positions 328 to 539 of the family's 1533-position model. The record is from RNAcentral.
ACGCUCGACACCUACGGAGGCAGCAGUGGGGAAUAUUGCACAAUGGGGGAAACCCUGAUGCAGCGACGCCGCGUGAAGGAAGAAGUAUUUCGGUAUGUAAACUUCUAUCAGCAGGGAAGAAAAUGACGGUACCUGACUAAGAAGCCCCGGCUAACUACGUGCCAGCAGCUGCGGUAAUCUGAGCGGGCUGGCAAGGC